RNAcentral lists this long non-coding RNA (233 nucleotides) under Trifolium pratense (red clover). RNAcentral's name for it is "long non-coding RNA (TPRA_LNC012108)". The record is from RNAcentral. Lineage: Eukaryota; Viridiplantae; Streptophyta; Magnoliopsida; Fabales; Fabaceae.
GGUACCGAAGAAAGUUGAAUGAUGCUUGCUUGCAGCGCUGCGUACGGGGGAAAAUUUGGGUUUUUGCAAAUUUAAUAAUUGUGUAAUGAAUAAGCCGUUAUGGUACACUAUUUCAAUUUCAGUUCAUUUCGACUUUUUAAAUUUGUUUAGAAAUGCGGAUGUUGAUUUCAUUCCGCUAGGCAUUUUAAACUAUUACUCAUUUUAAUUAAUGUUAUAUUUUAAGUGAAUUUCAA